GUGGGGAAUAUUGGACAAUGGGCGCAAGCCUGAUCCAGCCAUACCGCGUGAGUGAUGAAGGCCUUAGGGUUGUAAAGCUCUUUCAGUGGGGACGAUAAUGACGGUACCCACAGAAGAAGCCCCGGCUAACUUCGUGCCAGCAGCCGCGGUAAUACGAAGGGGGCUAGCGUUGUUCGGAUUUACUGGGCGUAAAGCGCACGUAGGCGGAUCGUUAAGUCAGGGGUGAAAUCCUGGAGCUCAACUCCAGAACUGCCUUUGAUACUGGCGAUCUAGAGUCCGGAAGAGGUGAGUGGAACUCCUAGUGUAGAGGUGGAAUUCGUAGAUAUUAGGAAGAACACCAGUGGCGAAGGCGGCUCACUGGUCCGGUACUGACGCUGAGGUGCGAAAGCGUGGGGAGCAAACAGGAUUAGAUACCCUAGUAGUCC
This 425-nucleotide ribosomal RNA is filed under the name uncultured bacterium. RNAcentral describes it as "partial 16S ribosomal RNA". It matches the Rfam family "Bacterial small subunit ribosomal RNA", at positions 354 to 796 of the family's 1533-position model. The record is from RNAcentral.